GAUGAACGCUGGCGGCGUGCCUAAUACAUGCAAGUCGAGCGAACAGACGAGGAGCUUGCUCCUCUGACGUUAGCGGCGGACGGGUGAGUAAAACGUGGAUAACCUACCUAUAAGACUGGGAUAACUUCGGGAAACCGGAGCUAAUACCGGAUAACAUGUUGAACCGCAUGGUUCAACAGUGAAAGACGGUCUUGCUGUCACUUAUAGAUGGAUCCGCGCCGCAUUAGCUAGUUGGUAAGGUAACGGCUUACCAAGGCAACGAAGCGUAGCCGACCUGAGAGGGUGAUCGGCCACACUGGAACUGAGACACGGUCCAGACUCCUACGGGAGGCAGCAGUAGGGAAUCUUCCGCAAUGGGCGAAAGCCUGACGGAGCAACGCCGCGUGAGUGAAGAAGGUCUUCGGAUCGUAAAACUCUGUUAUUAGGGAAGAACAAAUGUGUAAGUAACUAUGCACGUCUUGACGGUACCUAAUCAGAAAGCCACGGCUAACUACGUG
This 497-nucleotide ribosomal RNA is filed under the name uncultured bacterium. Its description in RNAcentral is "partial 16S ribosomal RNA". It matches the Rfam family "Bacterial small subunit ribosomal RNA", at positions 28 to 507 of the family's 1533-position model. The record is from RNAcentral.